GAUGAAGAACGUAGCGAAAUGCGAUACGUAAUGUGAAUUGCAGAAUUCAGUGAAUCAUCGAAUCUUUGAACGCAUAUUGCGCUCUCUGGUAUUCCGGAGAGCAUGCUUGUUUGAGUAUCAGUAAACACCUCAACUUCCAUAUCUUUUUUGAAAUGGGAGUUGGACUUGAGUGAUCCCAACGCUUUUCCUCACCGAAAAGUGGCGGGUUACUUGAAAUGCAGGUGCAGCUGGACUUUUCUCUGAGCUAUAAGCAUAUCUAUUUAGUCUGCCUAAAAACAGAUUAUUACCUUUGCUGCAGCUAACAUAUAGGAGAUUAGUUCUUGUGCUGACUGAUGCAGGAUUCACAAAGACAGGCUUCGGCCGACUUUGUAAACUCGAUCUCAAAUCAAGUAAGACUACCCGCUGAACUUAAGCAUAUCAAUAAGCGGAGGA
This 432-nucleotide unclassified non-coding RNA is filed under the name soil metagenome. Its description in RNAcentral is "partial contains 5.8S ribosomal RNA, internal transcribed spacer 2, and large subunit ribosomal RNA". The stretch from base 1 to 120 matches the Rfam family "5.8S ribosomal RNA", at positions 35 to 154 of the family's 154-position model. The record is from RNAcentral.